The sequence is a transfer RNA, 76 nucleotides long. It matches the Rfam family "tRNA". From Rfam's summary of the family: Transfer RNA (tRNA) molecules are approximately 80 nucleotides in length.
GCGGGAGUAGCUCAGUUGGUAGAGCAUCAGCUUCCCAAGCUGAGGGUCACGGGUUCGAACCCCGCCUCCCGCUCCA